UCUUGCGCGGACUCAACUCUCCGACCUGGAGGCCCCGGUAGCUUGAGGUGGACCGGGCAAAGGUUUGGCAAGCAGUGGGAGGCCUCUGUCCCACUCCCUGCCGACCUGCUCCCUUGACCCAGACCGGCGCAGACCUCAGCCGCAGCUCCAGCCGUGGCUCCGGCAGGCCUCGGGGACGCCUGGUGGGCUGCGCCCCUGCUGGACCUCCUUCCUCUUUCCCAGCCGCAGCCUCCGCGUGUGAGUUCGCUCGUAACUCUGCGUGGAGUUGCACAACUCCACGAAAGAAGAAACUCUGCCACAAGGACCGUUCCUAUUGGAAACUCAGCCGUCCGCAUUCAAAUAGGGUGUUAGGAACGAGCAGGCUGAGGAUUAGCCUUAGUGCACUUGCCGAGCAUGCACGGAGCCCUGGGUUCCCGCCCCUGUACCCUCAAACAAACAAGCAAAUGGUAACGCUGUGAGUCUGCUGUCUUUUCUCCCGAAGUUCUUUCCUCUCCAGGCGCUUGGUCCUUAGAUGGGCCAGAGUGGCUGCCCACAAACCUCUCCUGCAAUUCUGUUUUCAUCUUGCAUAGACCAGUGAGCGCAAGGGCUUGGUGCCACUCGCCCUGCUUCCGGGCUGACCGCAGUUCUGAACUGCUGCAACAUUUUGUUCCUCUCAGGCCCCUGUGGAGGGGGAGGAGGACCUGGACUGAGUGGGGAGGAGACUAAGCAUCGGAUUCGGUUUCUAUUCAGCACUGGAGAGUCUGCGCCCCUGCAAAGGCAGCUGGCACGGAUAGAGCUUACCGUGCUUACUGUAAUGUGGACCGCUCACGGCUGCUGGGCAGGGUCCCACAGGGAAACAAGUCCACAUGUAGUUGUCGGCAUCUGGGAUGUUCUGAGGAUUUUUCUCUUACAGGGUCUAGCUGGUUGACUGGGUCCCAGUAGUCUGUGCUGACUGGCUGGCCGGCUAGCUCUGGGACCCACCUAUCUCCACUUCCACUAAACUAGGAUCGGAAUCUCACCACAGCAUCAGCGCCUUUUCCACCUUGAGAUCAAGUUGUCCCUCAACAACCCUGCACUGCCCUGUGCCCAACUGGACAGCCUGCACCACCCUGUGCCCAGCUGGACGGCCUGCACCACCCUGUGCCCAGCUGGACAGUUUGCCAUGUACAAUCAUACUGCCUGUAUUCUGUGGGAUCAAACUCAAGUGUUCCUGCUUGCUCAGGAAGCACCUUCCCGACUGAGCCUUGUCCUCAGCCCUAUUUUCCGCCAGGAUUUGAGGAGAGGGAUUAAACA
This is a non-coding RNA of Peromyscus maniculatus bairdii (prairie deer mouse), 1272 nucleotides long. The record is from RefSeq and is a predicted model, not a curated record. NCBI's taxonomy places the organism in Eukaryota, Metazoa, Chordata, Mammalia, Rodentia, Cricetidae.